Molecule: RNA transcript, 1677 nt
Organism: Apis cerana (Asiatic honeybee)
Lineage: Eukaryota; Metazoa; Arthropoda; Insecta; Hymenoptera; Apidae
Gene name: CCR4-NOT transcription complex subunit 6
Source: RefSeq, a predicted model, not a curated record
GGUUGUGUCGGCUGCUUCGGGAAGAUUCGGAGGUAACGCGACCAAUCACGAUCACUUAUAGUUUGCGAUCAGUGCAGUUGAUAAAUGGAGGAUUUGUGUUUGUCAAGGUAGUUUUGUUUACGCGUAAAUUUUCAUUCGGUAUCAACACAUCGUGCGUUUUGUGUGUGCUAAGAGGUAGAUGAAGGAUUUAAAAUGUCUCGCAAUCAUAAAGACAAGUAUGAAAACUCCAACCCACGGCGUACACAUACUUUUAUGUCUACGGAGGAUGCAAACUCUGGGAAAAAAUCUUAUUGGCCAGAGUUGGAGAUAACAGGCAGUAUAAGAAAUUUAAGCCCAAAUUUAUGGCAACUAACUCAUCUAACAGCUUUGUAUCUCAAUGAUAAUAGUUUACAAAGGAUACCAUCUGAGAUUGGACGUUUAGUCAAUUUACGUGCUUUAGAUCUCAGUAGCAAUAAAUUACGCAGUUUACCAGCUGAACUGGGGGACCUCAUCUAUCUCAGAGAAUUGUUAUUAAACCAAAAUUACCUCCGAGUGUUACCAUAUGAAUUAGGAAAAUUGUUUCAAUUACAAGUGCUUGGACUUCAAGGUAAUCCACUCAGCAAGGAAAUAUUGGCGUUAUAUGGAGAACCAUCAGGGACUCACAAGCUGCUAUCAUAUAUGCUGGACAAUUUACAAGGUAUGUGCAGUUUUCCUUGAUCUAUGAUACUUACAUAAUUAUUGUAAACGUAUCUAUAGUUUAUGUAUUCCGUCGUAUAAUGAACAAAUCAAUAGGGGGGAAAAAAUGGCGGAUUACCCUGCCCGUAUCGUUUUCCCACUUCCAUAUGAAUAUAUUCGCAAAUGACCAGAGCUAUUUACUUCCAUGGUACACUUUCGAGCAUAUCGGUGGGAUUCGCUGGAACUUUUGAAAGGAAAGCUAUUCGAAACUGUGUAACGUCUCGAAUAUAAAUGCAUUCGUUCCGCAGAAUGUUAUGAAUCAACGGUUAACCAGGCCGAAUGCAUCGUAAUACAAGAGCUGAAGAAAAAUGAUCCGAAGAAAGGCCGUUGUAUCGAUAGGCGGAUACAAUCGAAUGUUUGAUUUCUUAGAAAACAAUUGCGGGUUGGAUACCUAUAAUCGAUUCGAUGUUACGUGAUAAUUGGAACGUAUUAGUCGUAUAUAUGAUUCACGAAACUAUUUGACGCACAGAUAUAGUGUGAAAAUUCUGAUUUUGAUAAAGUUUUUGAUUUUUCUAUAAGAUAUUUUUGGAAAGCAUAACGCAAAAAUUCGUAUACAAAGAUAUCAAUUGAUUAAAAUUUAUUAAUGUUAAAUUAUAAGUAAUGUCUUCGUCACACUUACUGUCAAACUCUAUUUUCGUCUCGUUUCAUUUAAGGCAAACUUGAAUUGCAUGUAACCUAAUAAAUAAAUUUCAAUCUAUAUGUUUGUUUCGGCCUCCGGAAAAUUGAUUUUCCAAAGUGUCCCGUAAUACGAGUAUAAUUACACGUGCAAUUUUUUCGUCAAUCUCUUUGAAAUUGAAGAUUCGUACUAACUUUAACUUUUGUUUAUAAGCUUUUUUCUGGAAUCGAUUAUCUAUAUUUGGGUCACGCUUAUUUGACUACUUACGAAAGAUCUAUAUAAAUUCGUAGGUAUUUGAAAAGAUAUUCCACAGAAUGUAAUAAAAUUACUAUUAAAUUUUUAUAAAA